GAUGAACGCUGGCGGCGUGCCUAAUACAUGCAAGUCGAGCGAACAGAUGAGGAGCUUGCUCCUCUGACGUUAGCGGCGGACGGGUGAGUAACACGUGGAUAACCUACCUAUAAGACUGGGAUAACUUCGGGAAACCGGAGCUAAUACCGGAUAAUAUAUUGAACCGCAUGGUUCAAUAGUGAAAGACGGUUUUGCUGUCACUUAUAGAUGGAUCCGCGCCGCAUUAGCUAGUUGGUAAGGUAACGGCUUACCAAGGCAACGAUGCGUAGCCGACCUGAGAGGGUGAUCGGCCACACUGGAACUGAGACACGGUCCAGACUCCUACGGGAGGCAGCAGUAGGGAAUCUUCCGCAAUGGGCGAAAGCUUGACGGAGCAACGCCGCGUGAGUGAUGAAGGUCUUCGGAUCGUAAAACUCUGUUAUUAGGGAAGAACAAAUGUGUAAGUAACUAUGCACGUCUUGACGGUACCUAAACAGAAAGCCACGGCUAACUACGUG
RNAcentral lists this ribosomal RNA (497 nucleotides) under uncultured bacterium. RNAcentral's name for it is "partial 16S ribosomal RNA". It matches the Rfam family "Bacterial small subunit ribosomal RNA", at positions 28 to 507 of the family's 1533-position model. The record is from RNAcentral.